RNAcentral lists this ribosomal RNA (301 nucleotides) under uncultured bacterium. RNAcentral describes it as "partial 16S ribosomal RNA". It matches the Rfam family "Bacterial small subunit ribosomal RNA", at positions 509 to 807 of the family's 1533-position model. The record is from RNAcentral.
CAGCCGCCGCGGGAAUACGGAGGGAGCUAGCGUUGUUCGGAAUUACUGGGCGUAAAGCGCACGUAGGCGGAUCGAUCAGUCAGGGGUGAAAUCCCAGAGCUCAACUCUGGAACUGCCUUUGAUACUGUCGAUCUGGAGUAUGGAAGAGGUGAGUGGAAUUCCGAGUGUAGAGGUGAAAUUCGUAGAUAUUCGGAGGAACACCAGUGGCGAAGGCGGCUCACUGGUCCAUUACUGACGCUGAGGUGCGAAAGCGUGGGGAGCAAACAGGAUUAGAUACCCCAGUAGUCCCUGUCUCUUAUAC